GUAGUCUCGCACAGAUGCAUAUCAAUAAGCGGAGGAAAAGAAACUAACAAGGAUUCCCCUAGUAACGGCGAGUGAAGCGGGAAGAGCUCAAAUUUGAAAUCUUAAAGGGUUUCCCUUUACGAAUUGUAGUUUAAAGAAGUGUUUUCUGUUGAGGUUUUGGUAAAAGUUCUUUGGAAUAGGACAUCAUAGAGGGUGAGAAUCCCGUAUUUGACCUUUACUUUCAACUUUGUGAUACACUUUCAAAGAGUCGGAUUGUUUGGGAAUGCAGUCCAAAAUGGGUGGUAAAUUUCAUCUAAAGCUAAAUAUUGGCGAGAGACCGAUAGCGAACAAGUACCGUGAGGGAAAGAUGAAAAGAACUUUGAAAAGAGAGUUAAACAGUACGUGAAAUUGUCAAAAGGGAAGCGUUUGACACCAGUGUUGUUUUUCUGAAAAUCAAUUAAAGAACUGUUUAUGCUAAGUUGUCUAGACUUUAUCAGCUAACUGUUUAGUUUUGAGCUUUUCUUUAAUGCACUUUUCAGUUAACAAGUCAACAUCAAUUUCUUUUGCUGUAAAAAAGCUUGAGGAAGGUGGCUUGAGAUUCGUCUUAAGUGUUUAUAGCCUCUUGCCUAUGCAGUCGGAGAGAUUGAGGUCUGCAGCGUAGAUCCUUCGGGGCUAAAUGCAUUUGUGCUAAGUUAUAGCAUUUUAUAGACAACUUGUUGACUAUGAUUUGUCUUGUAGCUUACUCGCUUAUGUUAUUUUACCUACGCUUAGGAUGUUGACGCAUGAGAUAUACGC
RNAcentral lists this ribosomal RNA (774 nucleotides) under uncultured Neocallimastigales. Its description in RNAcentral is "partial large subunit ribosomal RNA". It matches the Rfam family "Eukaryotic large subunit ribosomal RNA", at positions 24 to 647 of the family's 3401-position model. The record is from RNAcentral. Lineage: Eukaryota; Fungi; Neocallimastigomycota; Neocallimastigomycetes; Neocallimastigales.